GAGUUUGAUCCUGGCCAGGAUAAACGCUAGCGGCAGGCCUAAUACAUGCAAGUCGAACGGACGAUGGAUUUAUUCAUUGUUAGUGGCGCACGGGUGAGUAACACGUACACAACAUACCCAUUAUAGGGGGAUAGCCUUGGGAAACUGAGAGUAAUACCCCAUAGUAUUGGUUGUAGGCAUCUAUGAUUGAUUAAAGCUGAGGCGAUAAUGGAUUGGUGUGCGUCUGAUUAGGUAGUUGGUGGGGUAACGGCCUACCAAGCCGACGAUCAGUAGGGGGCGUGAGAGCGUGGUCCCCCACACGGGUACUGAGAUACGGACCCGACUCCUACGGGAGGCAGCAGUAAGGAAUAUUGGUCAAUGCCCGCAAGGGUGAACCAGCCAUGCCGCGUGCAGGAUGAAUGCCCUAUGGGUUGUAAACUGCUUUUGGAUAGGAAGAAUGGAUUGUAGGGAUAUGAUUUUGACGGUACUAUCAGAAUAAGCACCGGCUAACUCCGUGCCAGCAGCGCGGUAC
RNAcentral lists this ribosomal RNA (511 nucleotides) under uncultured Bacteroidota bacterium. Its description in RNAcentral is "bacterial SSU rRNA". It matches the Rfam family "Bacterial small subunit ribosomal RNA", at positions 9 to 523 of the family's 1533-position model. Lineage: Bacteria; Pseudomonadati; Bacteroidota. The record is from RNAcentral.